AGUGAAACCCUUCAGUUGGUAGAUGAGGCUCAGAAGAGAUAUGGCCUCCCUAUGCUCACAGACAGGUCCAUGGCUGGGUAUACAGAAGACAUUUGAAAUCAAACAUAACCUUACUCAAUUUCCUUGUUGACAGGUGACCUCAUGGAUCCAUCUGGUCGCAGUGUUCGAGGGAACCCCAGUGAGCAGCGGCACUCAGAGAAAGACAGGUACAUGGCUGGGUAUACAGAAGACCUCAUGGAUCCAUCUGGUCGCAGUGUUCGAGGGAACCCCAGUGAGCAGCGGCACUAAGAGAAAGACAGGUCACUGCGUGGAUCCCCCUGGUGGCAGCGUUUGAGGGAAAUGCAGUGAGCAUCAGUACUCAGAGGAAGGUAAUGGAGAAUGUUCUCUGAGUACAGAAAUUCCAUCAGUUCCCCCAAGACUGACGCAACACACUACACAUUCUCUCUCUAGUUGUCUCUGUGUGUCCCUUUCUUUCAUCUCUCCUCUAUCUCUGAUUUCUCUACUCCCUUUCUCCUAUUCCUUAUCUCCAGUAUCUCUAUCUUCCUACCCUCUAGCCUUUAUCAUCUGUCUCCCUGUCUCUCCCUGCCCCUUUUCUUCUAAGAAGAAGAGAUCUCUUUCUUAGCCAAGUUAACCCUAACCACCCAGAUGCACACAUUAUGGCUUUGGAAUGCAAACUUGAACUUGGCCUUAGACUUCAUAACAGCUAGUGAUAUUUUUUUGUGAACUUGAAGAUAAAUCCAUUAA
Molecule: long non-coding RNA, 744 nt
Organism: Monodelphis domestica (gray short-tailed opossum)
Lineage: Eukaryota; Metazoa; Chordata; Mammalia; Didelphimorphia; Didelphidae
Source: RefSeq, a predicted model, not a curated record